GCCGCGGUGGCGAAACUGGUAUACGCGCAGGACUUAAAAUCCUGUGGUCGUCAAUCCGACCGUGUGGGUCCGAUUCCCACCCGCGGCA
Molecule: transfer RNA, 88 nt
Filed under: Candidatus Gottesmanbacteria bacterium CG1_02_37_22
Lineage: Bacteria; Candidatus Gottesmaniibacteriota
Also listed under: 3 other names
Description: tRNA-Leu
Rfam family: tRNA
About the family: Transfer RNA (tRNA) molecules are approximately 80 nucleotides in length. Their secondary structure includes four short double-helical elements and three loops (D, anti-codon, and T loops). Further hydrogen bonds mediate the characteristic L-shaped molecular structure. tRNAs have two regions of fundamental functional importance: the anti-codon, which is responsible for specific mRNA codon recognition, and the 3' end, to which the tRNAs corresponding amino acid is attached (by aminoacyl-tRNA synthetases). tRNAs cope with the degeneracy of the genetic code in two manners: having more than one tRNA (with a specific anti-codon) for a particular amino acid; and 'wobble' base-pairing, i.e. permitting non-standard base-pairing at the 3rd anti-codon position.
Source: RNAcentral